UCUUUAAAAUCAGUUUAUAAAAGGGUUUAAAUUGCUGAAUUUCAUCUUUUCAUAUAUAAGAGUGAAAUCUCCCCCUAUAUCAUUUAAAUAUUGCCAAUUUGACUCUUUGAAUUGCUCCCCCUUUCAUUUAUAAUUCAUUAGUGAUGAAACUUCAAAAAUUUGAGAUAAAAUAUGAGUUUCAGGUUAUGUAUCGGGGUAUGAAAGGUGCGUGCCAAAUUCUGAAUUUAUAUGUGCCAAAUUCUGAAAUUUGAUAGAAAUUUUUUGAUUUGAUGAUUUUCAUUGUUACAAAUUGCUCCCCCUUAGAUGUAUAAGCUAUCUUAUAUGAUUUUCAAUUUGUUUGCCCAGUUAUUUCUCUUUUCUUGCAUAAGUUCUUAUUUCUCUUUCUUUACAUAAUCCUUUCUUUAACUUUCUUUACUUUUGCUCUUCUUAUUCUUUCUUUACUUACUCUAAAGAAAUCUUUGCUUCUCCCCUUUUUGUUACUUUGUUUACUCUAAACAAUAUCUUUACUUCUCCCAAAAUUAA
RNAcentral lists this long non-coding RNA (522 nucleotides) under Phoenix dactylifera (date palm). RNAcentral describes it as "long non-coding RNA (PDAC_LNC017381)". Lineage: Eukaryota; Viridiplantae; Streptophyta; Magnoliopsida; Arecales; Arecaceae. The record is from RNAcentral.